Misgurnus anguillicaudatus (oriental weatherfish) is the source of this 3173-nucleotide non-coding RNA. The record is from RefSeq and is a predicted model, not a curated record. Lineage: Eukaryota; Metazoa; Chordata; Actinopteri; Cypriniformes; Cobitidae.
ACUUUUAUUUGUGUACAUUCACAAUAAAGAAAAUAAACAGGGUGUAUUUUAAACAUCUCUGUCUUCACCAGCUGUCUCUCAAAACAAAAAUCAAUUGAAACUCUGUGAAUACUCAUUGCACAAGGAUGAUACAUCGAUCUAAAGAAAGCCGGAAAUGUCUACUUUUAAACAAACUAAUUAUAAUCGAAAACAAACAUUGUUGAUAUAAUUUGUUUUGAAGUUGAGAGUACCGUUUUUCCUGGCUGACCUCAUUAUCGGUAAUAAAGUCACGCCCACAGGCGGUACCCACUAUUUAUUUGGUAAUGACUAGGCGAACAGUUCAAAGCAUAAAGUUUUAUCAGAUGCGGGCUUCGGAUUGAAAAACAGUCAGUUUGCAAACGAUGAAGGGUUUAUCCACGUGGCUUGUAAUUCUGUAAUGUCUUGCAGUUUAGGCACAGAAAUGCUCAGUAAGAUUUGCUAUCAUGUAUCCUUCAUGGCAACUUUCAGUAUGGCUGCACACUACAGGAUAUUUAAAGUAUGUGCUGUAAUAUGAUUCCAUACAUUGCGCAAUACAUGUGACACCAUUGUUUACGCGUGAUGAGAUGCAAGUACGUAUGCAAUGUGUUUUUAAACAGUUUAUACACACUUACAGAAACACGCAUUACAACAUUGUUAAAAAAAGAAGCUAGGCAAUCAGUUGAUGGGCAUCUGAAAACAGCUUUUUAUAUAACUAACACUGCAGAUGAGAUGUUCUGAAUUUAGUUUAUUUAACUUGCAUGAUAGUUUAUCUGAAUUUAGUGCUAUCAGUGAUAUUUAGUAUCAGUUAUGUAUGUAGGCUUAAUGUGGUAGUUUUGUGGACAAUAUAUGCUAACAGCUGUUUAUAACUUUUUCAGGUCUGCAUCCCUCUCAGCUGAUACAUUACUACACUGCAAAAAAGAUGAAGUUGAAAGAGAUAUUCACACUUUUGGACAUUAAAGUUAUAUUGCAACAUUAACAACAUGAAGUUUAUGUAACAGCUCAUAACAGAGAUCUGCUGGGUUUCAGUUUUUUAGCAUUGCUUGGAUAAAGACCUUGGAAAUGCCAGUCAUGGUGAUGUUCACUUGUAUCUUAAGGAACUGUUUUCCAAACUGACACAAAGUUGUCUGCCAAAAUGUAUGUGUACAAAAUGUACAUUUGAUACUUAUUAUUUAUACUUUGAUUUUAUUCUCUGCUAUUUUGUUAUUAAACUACAAGCAAAACAUUGUCUUAUUAAGUCUUCUCAAAUUUAUUAUAGCACAACAUUCCUCAUUGAGACAUUAGGGGGUUGGGUCUUUAUCUCUUGAUGUGAAUCACAUCAAUAUUCAUGACCAUUGACCCUCCCUUGUGUGGCAGUAUACGCUGACAUAAGGGGUUAAUGGUAAUUAGCAACUCUGGGAGAGCCUCGUUAUGUAUGAUAUAAAAGGGGUGAACUUGUGCCACCCGGAUGUGCGUCAUCUAAACGUUACCGUUUCAGGGUGACCGUGUGCCACCCGGAUCUGCGUCAUCUAAGCGCUGCAGUUUUGUUUGGUUGCCGGUGUAUCGUGGCUUGAGAGUGGACUGAGAAAAUGCAGGGCGUGUGAACAGCUGGCACGUUGUUAAUCUGUGCGGCGGUCUCAUUCACGGAGACGCCUGGAGCGUGUUGUGGUGGGCUGACGGACUGGGUUUAUUGCUUAUACUGCUGCGGGUUGUGCUGGGUUGUUUCCCCCCGCUAUGCGUGUGCGUUAUCCACCCUGUGCUGCUCCGUUUGGAUUUGAUUAAGAUACCUACACUGUUAUUCCCCUUUGCUGAUCUUCCAACUGCCUGUGGUUGUGGAUAGAUCGGUUUACCUGUUGUUUCCGGACCAACUCUUCACUCCCUGACUGUCUGUGUUAAUUUCAGCCUAAGCUGAUUAUUAUUACUGUGAUCCGUAUCGAUCCAGGACGUGUAUUUCUACUCCAAAUAAUACGAUUGACGUCCGUCUACUUUUCAGUAACCACUUUCUUGAGAAAUUGUAAAUGUUUUUCUUUAUUUUUGUGAUUUAAAGUUUCUUUUCUUUUUUUCUUAAUUGUUUUGGUUGUUUAAAUGUAUAUAUUUAGUUAAGUCAUUACUAUUUGUUUAGUUUCUUUCUGUUUGGAGUUUUGUUUAAAGUAUUUAUCUUCAUACACUUGUCUGCAUUAUUUGCCAGCGGGGCUGAAGUUCCCUUUGUCCCCGACGUGGCGUGCUUUUCCAGAUACGGUUACAGUCGGUUAAGGAUGUGUGUAAAUGUGCAUGUGGUAUUUGAGUAUAUGCACAUCUGAGUAUUUAUUGUGAAACUGUCCGGCUGAUAAGCGGUAGAUUUGUAGUUCCUGUUUGCUUUCAGCCGGGACUGUUUGCUUUACUGCUUUACCGUUUGAUAAAGUGUAUGAAGGUGUUUUUGAUAUUGUGUGUUCUAUUUUUUUAUUAGAAUUGGGGCGUCAGAAACAGAAGAAUUAGGAGUUGUUUCCCUUCACUCUCGGUGGUGGUACUCUUCCUCACUGAUUGCCGUGCUCCAUUUUGAGGUGCAGUGUGUCUGUGCUUGUGUGCACGUGUGGUGGAUGCGUAUUUUGCUGUGGCUUUUCUCUUUAUUCCAGAUAGGAGAGUUGUGGACUUAUUCCUGAGAGGAGCUGGAUGCCGAUCCCCAAUUUGUGUGUUUAUUAUAAUUGAAUUAAAAUCUAUUUUUGUGAAUGUGUUGGUGAUGUGCUAUGAAGUGCAUCUGUGCUUUAUUAAUGUUAAAUAAACUAUUUUUUUAUAUAAGCUUUGUGUCUCAUACCUGACCCCACCAAAUUGAACCUGUGAGCUUUAUUCUGGUCGAGAGUAAAAUCCCCUUUAACCAACUUGGGGUGGCGUAGUCGGUCUUAAAUGGGCAGCUAAUCUGGUUGCCCUUUACCAGUGUUAUAAUUUUCUAUCUGCCACAUUUGCAUAUUACCUUUACACAAGAUUAAGUGUCUUACAAAAGUUAAAUUGAUAUAUUGUUUCAUGUGAAUGAAUAGAUGAAAUGGUUUUCACAUCUUUUUGUAGCAAAUUCCCAACUCUACAAGAUCCAGUAUUGAUUGUGAACAAAUGUUUAGUUUGUGUUUUUUGGCCUUAUUUCAGCAACUUUUAAUAUUGUUAUUUCUUCAAAAUACAAACAGGUGCAUACAUGUUACGCACACAUAGUUGCACCACAGUUUGUGCUGAAU